AUGACAUGUCACCCAGGCCCUGGUGCCACAGCAGGGGUGGCCCCCAGGCUGAGCCCGCACACGGACCUUAGCACCCUUGAAUCCAGGGGGUCCUUGUUCUCUAGAGAGCCCAGAACCUGGCUCGUCCACGGCCACCUACAAGCACAGGAUUACAGGGCAGAGCUGUGCUGUCACAGUAGCAGGAACAGGUCGUCCCAAAAGGUUGUGGGUUCCAAGUCACCGCACGGAGCUUCUGGGGCCCAAGCUCCCAGUGGCCUCUUGGUGACAGCAGUCACAGGCUUGGGCAGAGCUGGGGUGAUCACCUUGGGGCCUGGGGGUCCGGGGGGUCCAGGGAGGCCAGGAAGGCCGUCUCUGCCCUGCAGAGAAGAAGGAAAUGGGUGGCCAUCCCAGCACAGCCUGCAGCCAGUCCCGCCCGGUGAAGCCCUGCCCAGCUCACCUGUUCUCCACGUUCUCCUUUCUCUCCCCGUUCUCCCUGAAAAGCAGAUACCAAGGUGGGGGGUAUGCCCAUGGGGAGUCUGGCUCCCCCUGACCCCACUCCCCCGGCCACUCCCACCAGCCCCCAGGCUCACCCUCUCUCCGGGUCUUCCGGCCUCCCCCACACUCCCAGCUGGGCCAGGGAGCCCAGGGAUACCAGGCUUCCCAGGCUCCCCGGCAAGGCCGGUAGGUCCAGGAAGGCCCCUCUCCCCCAGGGCCAGGCCAGGUGGCCCCCGAGGGCCGGGGUCUCCACGAUCUCCCUUUGGUCCACGUUCUCCAGAAAAGCCGAUGGGGCCCUGGAGGAGCAGAACAGUACAUGCUGGUGGUCACCGACACCGUCCACAGAACAGCCCCUCCCCGCUUGAGUACCCAGCACACACCUCCUUGCCUGGGGGGCCCCGCUCGCCUGGGUCCCCCUUGGGGCCGCGACGCCGUUCAGGCGUGGGCAGGAAGCCACCAGAGCUUUCUUCCCAGGUCUCCACGAUCUCCCGCAGGGCAGAUGUCUGGGUGACAUGCAGGGUCAGAAGAGGAAGGCCAAGGCUGCAGCCACCCAUGCCCUGGCCAGCCCUGGGGGCAUUACGUGUCCCGUGGGGCUCCCCGCGGCCCCUGUGUCCAGCCCCCAUCAACCUACCUUGA
RNAcentral lists this long non-coding RNA (1110 nucleotides) under Bos indicus x Bos taurus (hybrid cattle). Its description in RNAcentral is "lncRNA (ENSBIXG00005018231.1)". Lineage: Eukaryota; Metazoa; Chordata; Mammalia; Artiodactyla; Bovidae. The record is from RNAcentral.